CGGGGGAGCAAGCGUUGUUCGGAUUUACUGGGCGUAAAGGGCGCGUAGGCGGCCUCUGCAAGUCGACUGUGAAAUCUCCGGGCUUAACCCGGAACGGUCAGCCGAUACUGCAGGGCUAGAGUGCAGAAGGGGCAACUGGAAUUCUCGGUGUAGCGGCGAAAUGCGUAGAUAUCGAGAGGAACACCUGCGGCGAAGGCGGGUUGCUGGGCUGACACUGACGCUGAGGCGCGAAAGCUAGGGGAGCGAACGGGAUUAGAUACCCCGGUAGUCCUAGCCUUAAACGAUGAAUGCUUGGUGUCUGGGGUUUUAUAGUCCCCGGGUGCCGUCGCUAACGCUUUAAGCAUUCCGCCUGGGGAGUACGGUCGCAAGACUG
This 373-nucleotide ribosomal RNA is filed under the name uncultured organism. Its description in RNAcentral is "bacterial SSU rRNA". It matches the Rfam family "Bacterial small subunit ribosomal RNA", at positions 527 to 896 of the family's 1533-position model. The record is from RNAcentral.